This 253-nucleotide ribosomal RNA is filed under the name uncultured bacterium. Its description in RNAcentral is "partial 16S ribosomal RNA". It matches the Rfam family "Bacterial small subunit ribosomal RNA", at positions 524 to 776 of the family's 1533-position model. The record is from RNAcentral.
UACGGAGGUGGCAAGCGUUGCUCGGAUUCACUGGGUGUAAAGGGCAAGUAGGCGGUUUCGUAAGUCGGGUGUGAAAUCCCACGGCUCAACCGUGGAACUGCGCCCGAACCUGCGAGACUUGAGGACAGGAGAGGCGAAGGGAAUUCCCGGUGUAAGGGUGAAAUCUGUAGAGAUCGGGAGGAACACCAGUGGCGAAGGCGCUUCGCUGGCCUGUUUCUGACGCUGAGAGGCGAAAGCUAGGGGAGCGAACAGG